ACGGGAGGCAGCAGUAGGGAAUAUUGCACAAUGGGGGGAACCCUGAUGCAGCAACGCCACGUGUGGGAAGUAGCAUUUCGGUGUGUAAACCACUGUCGUGAGGGAAUAGUGCUUGGCUCCGGCCAAGCUGAAUGUACCUCGAAAGGAAGCACCGGCAAACUUCGUGCCAGCAGCCGCGGUAAUACGAGGGGUGCAAGCGUUGUUCGGAAUCACUGGGCGUAAAGGGAGCGUAGGCGGAGACGCAAGCAGUCUGUACAAUACCGGGGCCCAACCCCGGACCUGCAGACUGGACUGUGUCUCUUGGAUAGUUCAGGGGCAGGCGGAAUUCCUGGUGUAGCGGUGGAAUGCGUAGAGAUCAGGAAGAACACCGAUGGCGAAGGCAGCCUGCUGGGGACUCAUCGACGCUGAGGCUCGAAAGUGCGGGUAGCAAACAGGAUUAGAUACCCUGGUA
RNAcentral lists this ribosomal RNA (451 nucleotides) under uncultured Fibrobacter sp. RNAcentral's name for it is "partial 16S ribosomal RNA". It matches the Rfam family "Bacterial small subunit ribosomal RNA", at positions 341 to 792 of the family's 1533-position model. Lineage: Bacteria; Pseudomonadati; Fibrobacterota; Fibrobacteria; Fibrobacterales; Fibrobacteraceae. The record is from RNAcentral.